Molecule: ribosomal RNA, 1441 nt
Filed under: uncultured bacterium
Lineage: Bacteria
Description: bacterial SSU rRNA
Rfam family: Bacterial small subunit ribosomal RNA
Source: RNAcentral
GACGAACGCUGGCGGCGUGCUUAACACAUGCAAGUCGAACGGAAAGGCCCCGCUUGCGGGGUACUCGAGUGGCGAACGGGUGAGUAACACGUGGGUGAUCUACCCUGCACUUCGGGAUAAGCCUGGGAAACUGGGUCUAAUACCGGAUAGGACCCCUCUUUAGUGUGGGGGGUGGAAAGUUUUUUCGGUGUGGGAUGAGCCCGCGGCCUAUCAGCUUGUUGGUGGGGUAAUGGCCUACCAAGGCGUCGACGGGUAGCCGGCCUGAGAGGGUGGACGGCCACAUUGGGACUGAGAUACGGCCCAGACUCCUACGGGAGGCAGCAGUGGGGAAUAUUGCACAAUGGGCGGAAGCCUGAUGCAGCGACGCCGCGUGGGGGAUGACGGCCUUCGGGUUGUAAACCUCUUUCGCUAGGGACGAAGCUUUUGUGACGGUACCUAGAUAAGAAGCACCGGCUAACUACGUGCCAGCAGCCGCGGUAAUACGUAGGGUGCGAGCGUUGUCCGGAAUUACUGGGCGUAAAGAGCUCGUAGGUGGUUUGUCGCGUCGUCUGUGAAAUUCCGGGGCUUAACUUCGGGCGUGCAGGCGAUACGGGCAAUACUUGAGUGCUGUAGGGGAGACUGGAAUUCCUGGUGUAGCGGUGGAAUGCGCAGAUAUCAGGAGGAACACCGAUGGCGAAGGCAGGUCUCUGGGCAGUAACUGACGCUGAGGAGCGAAAGCAUGGGUAGCGAACAGGAUUAGAUACCCUGGUAGUCCAUGCCGUAAACGGUGGGCGCUAGGUGUAGGGGUCUUCCACGACUUCUGUGCCGUAGCUAACGCAUUAAGCGCCCCGCCUGGGGAGUACGGCCGCAAGGCUAAAACUCAAAGGAAUUGACGGGGGCCCGCACAAGCGGCGGAGCAUGUGGAUUAAUUCGAUGCAACGCGAAGAACCUUACCUGGGCUUGACAUACACCGGACCGGGCCAGAGAUGGUCUUUCCCUUGUGGCUGGUGUACAGGUGGUGCAUGGUUGUCGUCAGCUCGUGUCGUGAGAUGUUGGGUUAAGUCCCGCAACGAGCGCAACCCUUGUCUUAUGUUGCCAGCACGUAGUGGUGGGGACUCAUGAGAGACUGCCGGGGUCAACUCGGAGGAAGGUGGGGAUGACGUCAAAUCAUCAUGCCCCUUAUGUCCAGGGCUUCACACAUGCUACAAUGGUCGGUACAACGCGUUGCGACACUGUGAGGUGGAGCUAAUCGCUGAAAGCCGGCCUCAGUUCGGAUUGGGGUCUGCAACUCGACCCCAUGAAGUCGGAGUCGCUAGUAAUCGCAGAUCAGCAACGCUGCGGUGAAUACGUUCCCGGGCCUUGUACACACCGCCCGUCACGUCAUGAAAGUUGGUAACACCCGAAGCCAGUGGCCCAACCCUUGUGGGGGGAGCUGUCGAAGGUGGGAUCGGCGAUUGGGACG